CUUCUGUCACUUAAGUUUGCCUCAACCAAAUGUUAUGAAACUUGUACACAAUACUUAUUACCACAAAACUCAGAUCAAGUACAAAAUUGGGUAAUGUCACUUUAACUGUUCUUCAGUUAUGUUCCUUUAUAACUAUAUGAUAUGUAAGAGCAGGCAUCAUCUGUCUCAUGGACACAUUCACCAUUUAUUUUUCUCUAACUUAAGUUUGCCUCAACCAAAAAUUAUGAAAUUUAUACACAAUGCUUAUUACCACA
RNAcentral lists this long non-coding RNA (254 nucleotides) under Mytilus galloprovincialis (Mediterranean mussel). Lineage: Eukaryota; Metazoa; Mollusca; Bivalvia; Mytilida; Mytilidae. The record is from RNAcentral.